GGAAAACAAACAAAAGCUCACAUUAGAAGAAACAAUAUUGGGAAUAUACAUCUUGAGAUUGUUAAAAGUGUUCAGUCCUCUCUGAAGAAUCUACCAGAAGAAAGCCCAUCCAUUCCUUCAAACUGUAUAUUCUCUGAUGGCUUCCAGUGGCGUUUCCUCUGAUUUAUGAACCAAUUGUUAAUUUGCUUUUGAUCUAGUCCCGUUCUCUCUGCCAAUGCAACCUUGUCGGCUUCCGUAGGAUAUGGCCAUUUAUAGUGAACGUUCCACCAUUCAAAGAGUGUUUGCCUGGCUUCUUUUGGUAAUUUUCCUUUUUUCUUCUUCUUUGAGAACUCCAAUUUUAAGGUACUAAUAUGACUCCCAAAUCUACGUAGAAGCUUGUCCUUGAGAUCCCUGUUCUCGCCUUUGGUUUGAGCCUCCGCCUCCACAACUUCCAUC
Molecule: unclassified non-coding RNA, 435 nt
Filed under: Hevea brasiliensis (rubber tree)
Lineage: Eukaryota; Viridiplantae; Streptophyta; Magnoliopsida; Malpighiales; Euphorbiaceae
Source: RNAcentral